CCUACGGGUGGCAGCAGUGAGGAAUAUUGGUCAAUGGGCGAGCGCCUGAACCAGCCAAGUCGCGUGAAGGAUGACGGCCCUAUGGGUUGUAAACUUCUUUUGUCAGGGAGCAAUUGGGUCCACGCGUGGGCUUAGCGAGAGUACCUGAAGAAAAAGCAUCGGCUAACUCCGUGCCAGCAGCCGCGGUAAUACGGAGGAUGCGAGCGUUAUCCGGAUUUAUUGGGCGUAAAGGGAACGCAGGCGGUCGUUUAAGUCUGAUGUGAAAGCCGUCGGCUUAACCGGAGUAGUGCAUUGGAAACUGGGAGACUUGAGUGCAGAAGAGGAGAGUGGAACUCCAUGUGUAGCGGUGAAAUGCGUAGAUAUAAGGAGGAACACCAGUGGCGAAGGCGACGAUCUGGGCUGCAACUGACGCUCAGUCCCGAAAGCGUGGGGAGCAAAUAGGAUUAGAUACCCUUGUAGUC
Molecule: ribosomal RNA, 461 nt
Filed under: uncultured bacterium
Lineage: Bacteria
Description: partial 16S ribosomal RNA
Rfam family: Bacterial small subunit ribosomal RNA
Source: RNAcentral